Molecule: long non-coding RNA, 4289 nt
Organism: Passer montanus (Eurasian tree sparrow)
Lineage: Eukaryota; Metazoa; Chordata; Aves; Passeriformes; Passeridae
Exons: 4
Source: RefSeq, a predicted model, not a curated record
CACCCCCCGGACAUGUGCUCGAGCAGAUUAGAAACUGUCAGGCUCCCAGAUAGGUCCAGAAAGGACCUUAAGCACAGCCGUGCCCUGCAGAUAACAUCCUGCCUCUGCUGAAAGCAGGAAAGGGAGCCCAGGGCCACCCCCAACUUCUGACACCAGAGCAGCUCUGUGGAGGCAUUGGGCACAGUGGGCAGAGCACUGCCAGCUCUGCACUGGGACACAAAAAUUGAGGAGGGCUGAACACACUGUCUUGUGGAAGGUGCUGGCUGCCAUGGGUGGCACAGGAUGCUGUGGGUGUGACAAGCCAAGUGUUUCCAAGCAGAUGCUUCACACAGAGCCACCCCUCCAGCCGAAGCUGUGUAAAUAAUGUACCGGAGAAGCGUGCUGCUAAUUGAGUACCUCCCGAAAUGCCAAGAGGCAGGAAGACUCCAGUUAAAGGCAACUCUUCAUUUUAACUUGUGUCACUGAAGAGCACUAAAGUAAAUGAACUCCUGAGGACAAGAUCAAAGUAGAAUAAGAGACUCUUUUUUUAUAUCCUUGAAUCUCCUGUCCCUUUUGUACACUGAAAUUUAAUUUCCUUUUCAAAGAGAGCUUUUGGAGCUUAUGAAAAUUGACCCAAAAGAUUACAAGGGCUUUGUCACCCUUCCAAUCUCUCUGAAAGAUCCAUAAUUAGGGAGGUUUUUCCUUCAACAUAUGUGCCCAGCAGACAAAUAUAUAAUUCAGACUUACAAUUGCAUGAAACAGUUAUUUCAGUAUAUUAGAUACAUACAAGCCCAAACAUCACAAAGAGUUGAAAAAUCUUGUGUGCUUCAAACGAGUAAAUAUGCAUCCAGGCUUUUUUUUUUUUAACUGGCUUGUUUUCAUUUGUGCCAAGGCUACACACAAUCACACUAAGGACCUGGGACAGAUGUUUGCUACUAGGAUAAAUAUACCAAGUACAAUAAAAACAAACGGCUGACCUCGAGGAGUAGUUAUUUAUGCUCCUCUAGAAAUUAAUUCUGCAAGGAGGAAUGUGCGAGCGGAUACCUAAGACAGCUAUUCUGCUUUUUGCCCUCUAACGGAGUAACCCCGGCUUUACUCCUCCGGCACACAGCCUUCCCGGGGGAGACAGCAGUAACACGAACCAGCCAGGGUGCAGGUCUGCGCCGGGCAGGACCGGUCCCUGGGGCAGCUGGAGGGGGUUCCCCGGCGCUGUCGCCCCCCGAGCAUCGCCCGAAGGUGGCCCCUUCCUCCGGAGCCCACCCCGGCACCCGCCGCCUCCCCUCUGCCUCCCUCCAGUGGGGAAAUCCCGGCUGGAUGGGGAGAAGCCUCCCCGCUCCGGAGCGCCGGGGGAUGCUGCGAGCAGCGCCGCGGCCGCCCCUGCUUCUAAAUCACAGAAAUAAUUUUUUCAAAAACCCCAACAACUCAACAGCCGAGUGAGGAGGCUGGGAGGCUCCCACCGCGCCUUCUGCAGCAGCGGGGAGCGGGGGAUUCGCAGUCCCAUCUCUGCACCAUUUCUCUGGAGCACACAAGAGAUAGGAUAUGGUUCACCUCUCCAGCCACACCAACCUUGGUCACAAGUUGCAAGGAGGAGAUAUGGAAGAGAGCUCUGCAGUGGCUGGGUUUGCUCAGAAAGGCUCCUUUCUAUAAAUCAAGGCAGAAGAGGAGUGUGUUUGCCCCAGAGAUACUUCAGGGAGGCAUGACACAGUAACAGGGGUGUAAUGUGGUGCAGAGCAUGGAGAAGAUCCGCAGAUCUCUGCCAGCACCUGGCUGAGCCAAGAGCAGAGAACAAGACCAAAUCCACCUGAAACAGCAACUGUGGAGCCUAUUUCUCCUUUUUAUAUCACUGUUACACUCACUUAAUUCCCUCAGAUGCUCUCAACUUCCCUGAUGCACCUCAAGGAGCGUGGAGCACGGAGAAUGUGCAAAGCAAGAAACAAUGCGUAAAGACAUGAGGACAUAGCCCAGUGCAUGCAUCACCUCCCAGCUGCCCCUGUGAUGCUCUAACUCUGCUUCACAAAGGAGUCAGAGGAGCUCACAUGAGGCAAUUGAACAUGUUCUACUGAAUUCUCUAAGAUCUAAACUGAGCCAGCAAUGCAGAGCUCAGGGCAAAUAUUUCUCGUUAUCUCAGAAACCAGGUGGUUAUGGACGCCAGUACCACCUGGAGGGGGCUGAACAGACCCAACCCCUCUAACCUACAUUUGUCAUACGGGGAAUAUGUUACAGCACAACUUUGUGUGUCAUGGGGAGCUGCACCCGGCAGACAAGCCUGCUGACUGAGACACUACUGGACACAGAUUUAUUCCUGAAGAAAAGGUUGAACAAGAUAAAAUCCUCAUGGCAGCAUAGAAGUAUCCAAGGCUCCAGGGAACACAAACAAGCUGCAGAGUAAAGCCAGUCACCAUCAACAGCUGAGUGGGUAAUUCACAGCAAACCACAGCUUUGAUUAAAUGCACCCUUUUCCCAGCCACAGAAAAAUUGUUAAAGCUCUUGGAAGUUCCCUACUUGCUUCUAGUAAUUACCAAUGGAGCUCUUUAUGCAGAAGACCAGUGACAGAACUGUGCAUCUGUGAAAUGCCCUGAAGCCCUGGAAACAAAAGAUGUCACAGCAUUCAAGGUAUUUCAGAGACCCUGAGGACCUUGUCACUGCAUGAAUUCCACCUGCUUUGAAAGUCUUGCCUUUUGCAGUCAAGAGAAUAAGGCAGAAUUGUCCUUAUCUCCUGUCUCUAAAGGCAGGAGCCUGGCAAAAUGAAAGCAUCAUGCACAGUACAUGAGCAACAAGGCUGGGAGACACGAAUUAUGUCAUUGUUUUCUUCAUAAAGAUUAAAGGUCAUCUGUGCUUGUCCCCUCCAUACAUGGAGCACGCAGGGACGUGGAGACACCCAAACAAAGUCCAUAGCUACUGCAGAGCCAAUGUCUCUGUGUCAGUGAUAUCCACAUUCCCUGAUCACCCAGCCUUUCCUACACGUUGGCUUCCAGUCUGGUUGUGCUCUAGAGCCAGCACUCUUCAGGCACUGCAAGAACCAGCUCACACGUGGGUAUGGAUUUAGCCUAAGAUAGUCAGGGAGCCCACAUCACCAUAGUAACUGCAUGCUGUUGCAUUAAUUUCAGCAAAUAAAUGAAGCUUGUAAGUUCAAGGGGUAUUUAUGCAGAGCGGUGCAGGACCACACAGAGAAACUGCAACAGUCUUGAACGAGGCAGCCAGGCUUCCCUGGCUUCUUUAUCCUGCUUUUCAGGAGGACUGAUUAUCUGGUUGGAAGAUUCCAUUAAUACGAUCAGCCUGCUUUCUGUACUUGAUGUGGUGUUUUCAGACAUGACUUGGAUAUAUCUACGCAGCACAAGACUGAGCCAUGUAGGACCAACCAGAAGUAUGAAAAAGCUUCUACAGUAAUGUGCACAUUUUCUAAAAUUGAAGUUGCUAUAGAAAAAUUUAGCAGGUUUGAGUAUUCCCCUUCUGACUGGUGAUGUUUGUUUAGGAGCUUUUACCUAUUGAUAAAGGUGGAAUGAAUUGUUCUUUAUGAGGAAAGCAAGAACUUACCUGAGGCCAGCUAGGUUCCUCAUUUUGUUGCCAAAAACCCACCCACUAUUCUUAAAAAAAUUAAACAAAAAAUACUCACCAGGGCAAACACAGGUACAAAGUUCUGGUUCAUACAAGCCAACUUAAAGCCAGCUUGGCUGGGAGGGGAGCAGUCAAGCACUCUGCUUGUUGGCCACUCUGACUGCCUAAACUCAUCUGUGUCUGCAGGGUGUUGACUUCCCCUUUAAUCACAUGUUUGCAGAAGUGUUAUAAAAAAGGAGAAUCUGACUAAUCCAGGAACUCUGGAGUAAGAAGGAAGACAAGCAUUUUUAUUGGGUCUGUCUGGGAUUGAGUUCAUUUUCCCAUGGCAGCCCUAACGGUGCUCUGCUGGGCAUUGAUAGAUGGAAAGGUGUUGGUUACACAGCAGUGUUUGACUCCUGCAGAGCAAAGCUGGCACAGCAUCAGCACUGUCUGCCCAGAAUCCCCCCAUCAAGGGGCUAGGAGUGGGCAAGAUCCCAGGAAGGGACACAAGCAGACCAGUAGACCCAAAUUAACCACAGGAACAUUCCAUACCGUACAAAAUCAGCUAUAAUAUAAAAGAUAAGAAAAGGAGGACAAAGAGGGUGCUUUUGUUAUUUACAAUAUUUGCUGUCUGAAAAACUGCCACCCAUGCAGAAGUCUGGCUUCCUGGGAAGUGGCUGAACAUCCCUUGCUGGUGGGAAGUAGAGAAUGCAAUUAUUUUUUGUCUCUUUGCUUCAGUGCAUGUAAACUUUUGCUUUUGCUUUAGUAAAUUGACU